Molecule: ribosomal RNA, 207 nt
Filed under: uncultured bacterium
Lineage: Bacteria
Description: partial 16S ribosomal RNA
Rfam family: Bacterial small subunit ribosomal RNA
Source: RNAcentral
CACGUAGGCGGAUCGAUCAGUCAGGGGUGAAAUCCCAGAGCUCAACUCUGGAACUGCCUUUGAUACUGUCGAUCUGGAGUAUGGAAGAGGUGAGUGGAAUUCCGAGUGUAGAGGUGAAAUUCGUAGAUAUUCGGAGGAACACCAGUGGCGAAGGCGGCUCACUGGUCCAUUACUGACGCUGAGGUGCGAAAGCGGUGGGGAGCAAAC